This 466-nucleotide ribosomal RNA is filed under the name uncultured bacterium. RNAcentral's name for it is "partial 16S ribosomal RNA". It matches the Rfam family "Bacterial small subunit ribosomal RNA", at positions 28 to 507 of the family's 1533-position model. The record is from RNAcentral.
GAUGAACGCUGGCGGCGUGCUUAACACAUGCAAGUCGAACGAUGAAGCCCAGCUUGCUGGGUGGAUUAGUGGCGAACGGGUGAGUAACACGUGAGUAACCUGCCCUUAACUCUGGGAUAAGCCUGGGAAACUGGGUCUAAUACCGGAUAGGAGCGUCCACCGCAUGGUGGGUGUUGGAAAGAUUUAUCGGUUUUGGAUGGACUCGCGGCCUAUCAGCUUGUUGGUGAGGUAAUGGCUCACCAAGGCGACGACGGGUAGCCGGCCUGAGAGGGUGACCGGCCACACUGGGCCUGAGACACGGCCCAGACUCCUACGGGAGGCAGCAGUGGGGAAUAUUACACAAUGGGCGCAAGCCUGAUGCAGCGACGCCGCGUGAGGGAUGACGGCCUUCGGGUUGUAAACCUCUUUCAGUAGGGAAGAAGCGAAAGUGACGGUACCUACAGAAGAAGCACCGGCUAACUACGUG